UGUCCAGAGAGGGAGCUGGCAGCCUUGCGGUGGUGUUGAUUGAGAAGAGAUUCCAGGGGUCUCCUUCACCAGGGAAGCGGGAGGCCUGAUGCUCUCCGAAGUCCUGUGGGUCAGAGAUGUGGUCCAGACAGCGCGGGCUUUCUCUUCCACGCAGGAUGCCUUUCCGUGCUGCAUCUCUUUCCUGCGUAGUUUUCAGAGUGGUAAAAUCAAGAUCUUCAGCCCCAGCUCCUACUCAGUGUUUGCAAAGACACGGAGCAGAAAUGUCCUCCUCUCCUUGUAACAGGCCUCAUUUCCAGCAGUGAAAGUUCUGGAGACAUUUGAACGAAGGUAUCGACUGAGCCAUUUAGAAAGGAGGGAAAUUGGAGGGACGUACCCAAGCAGGUUCCCUGCCAUUCGUUUAUAAAUGACCUAUUUUUCCUCCUCUGAUUCUCCAGCCAGCCUUGGGGGUCUAGUGGUUAAGAUCCAGCACUCUCGCUGGCACGGUCUGGGUUCCUUUCCCCUCAGGGAGCUGCAUCCCCCAUCUGUGUGUGCCUGUGAUGCUGAAAGCUGUGCCACAGUGUUUCCAGUACCAGCAGGGUCAUCUGUGGUGGACAGGUUUCAGCAGGGCUUCCAGACUGAAACAGACCAGGAAGGACCUGGCCACCCACUUCCAAAAACAGUGGCCAUGAAAACCCUGUGAAUAGCAGCAGAGCACUGUCUGAUGGAGCACCAGAAGAAAAGAUUCCCUGCCUGAUGCCACUGCAGCCGAGUUCUCCUGCCCAGAGCGUCAGGCGUCUGCGUGGACACAGUUGCUCUGUUUAGGUGGCGAAUCAGUGCUCCCCACGUUCAGUACUUCCCAGGAUGCAGGGGAGAGGACUAAGAAUUGGGGAGCGGACUCAGAGUCCAGAGGUUGAUCUGUAUAAAGAGGUGGAAGACAAGUAUACACGUCUUAGGGCCAGCUGGAUGCCUGAGCUGAGCCCUAGCUGUGAUGGCUCCAUUCACACUGCCAGCCCUCCCAAGCUGUAGAUUUUGUCAGCGUCACUCACAAGGCGGGAACUGGCGAAGACAGUCUUGAGAAAGUGGAUGAUUAAGUGAAGGGUUAAGCACAGCAUGUCCUCCCUUAGUCUUCCAGGCAAAGGCAAUCUUGCUACUGUGGGGCACUCACCCGUCCACUGAGCCAGGGCACGGGCAGGCGGGAUGGCAAAGACACUCUGAUGCCCAUGACAGAGGGGCCCACUGAAUUCCUGCCUAGGGAGAGAAGCACACCUGACUCCAUCCAGUUCCGAGCUCGACUUGAGCAGUGUCUUCAUUAACUGCUGUUCUGUGAUCAUAAAAUAAAAUUCUUAGGAAGGACCUUAGAGAUCAUCUAGUCCAACCUACUCAGUUGCCAGAUGAGAAAACUGAGAUCAUACAACUAUCUGGAAGAAAACUAGGAUUUAACUGGUUUUUGACAUGCCCCCCAUCCCCAUGCAAUGCUUCCCCCUUGUACCAUAAUCACCUUCAAUUCGCACACACAGUCCCUCGAAUGUCCAUGGUACUGACAGCUAAGGCAUUUCUCCUAGUCUGGCAGCUCCUGUGUGAUGCCAUGGGGCCAACUGGGUGGGCACCACCAGUAUAAUCUAUGUUUAAAUGAUAGUAGCAGCUUCCAUGUCACUGCCGUCACACCGGGGGGUGCACAUGUCAGCCGUUAGCCGUGCCUGCUCUGUGUCACUGCGCUCACAUCGGGUUGCACGCGUCAGUGGUUAGCGCUGCCUCCUUCCAGAGCACAGCCCUUUCACGCGGUGGCCUCCUCUCUGCACGCAGCACAUACAGGACGGAGAUACAUGGAUCUGCUUUAGUGGGAGCAGUCACGGGGGCUGCUUUCCACCCGCCGAGCAAUCUCUGAACAACCGCGAGCAAACCUUGAGGUUCUAAGAAACAAGUUUGAGAAUCACUUCUUACAUUAUUUUUAGAAUUCCCCAAUUAUCCGAUGCAGUGGUAUUAUUUUUCCCACUUUUCAUUUGAGAAAACUUAGGUGAAGAGAGGUUAGUUAACUUGAAGGUGGCAGAGCAAGGAUUCGAGCUCACGCUGGUCUGAUUCUUAAAUUCACGCUCACGAUCGCUCUACCCUAGCGCCUGCCAAUGGAAUGAAAUGAACCCGCCCACCGUGAAAAAGAAGUCCCCCAGGAAUUUCUUGGAUUUUCAGAUUCCAUCUGCUUAUAUUGUCUCCCUAGAAAUCCUGGUGACAUGUUUAUUAACG
This is a long non-coding RNA of Equus caballus (horse), 2217 nucleotides long. NCBI's taxonomy places the organism in Eukaryota, Metazoa, Chordata, Mammalia, Perissodactyla, Equidae. The record is from Ensembl.